Molecule: RNA transcript, 4488 nt
Organism: Anopheles gambiae (African malaria mosquito)
Lineage: Eukaryota; Metazoa; Arthropoda; Insecta; Diptera; Culicidae
Gene: nab
Gene name: NGFI-A-binding protein homolog
Exons: 6
Source: RefSeq, a predicted model, not a curated record
GGUGGACUUUUCCUUCGCGCUGUGCGCUCAGAUAUUCUUUCGGCUUCGAUCUGUACAGUUGACAGUCCAAGGAAUAUAGAGCCAGCACUGGCACUCCUUAACCCAUUCACCGUUCCAAACAUACGACAUCGUGUGGUGUUGUUUUUGUCGCACAGAAACGCACCAUCCACUAGAGAGUUGUAUUUUUUUUUACUUAACAUUCCUGGAAUGUUAAUAGCUGUGCGGUAGAAACACCAAGAAGAGCAAACCUUGCUUUAUUAGUGCAACACUUUACGGCACUUACUUGUUUACGUGAGCAAUAGAACUAGUGCGUGCAAUCAUCGGUAGAUCCUGCCUGACGUGUGGAGUGAAAAGACGGUAUUUUUGAAACAGAGUGUACUGAGCGUUGCCAUGGGAACCAACCCCAAUGGACGUGACAACUGAGCUAGCUGGCUAGUGUGUGCAUUCAUGUUGUGUGACUGUUUUUUUCGAGCUCCCGUGAUAGGCAAGGGACACCUAUUCGUGAUAAGGAACAUUGGUUGUUACGUUUAUUUUCGUUAAUUUACAAACGCUAAGAAACAACAAGCCGCGUAAAAGUGAUACACGAGCAUACAAAAAUACGAUAAAUACAAUAUUACUUUAGUAGGAUGAUAGGAAAGUUAGAGUAGCAUAAAUACGGAUCCGUGUACUUUCGUGUAUUUGCGUGGGAUAGUUUUAGUUAGCUUUAUGUAGGUUAGUGGCUUAACAGGGCGUUGAUCGGUAGGCAAAAUUUGCUAGUACUGCAACCCGUACGAUAGCUCCUUUUGGCUUCCAAGCUUUUCGCGGUGUACGGCCAGUGCACGUAGUAGCUUUGCGUAGGGCUGUCCGUCGCUCAGCCUGCUUAGAUCGGAGAUACGGCGUCGCGCUAGGCAAUGCUUUGAAUGUGUGCUUCAACGUACCGCCCCACACCAUCCGCUUCCGUGGCCGCCCGUGCACGUUUGGGCGAUUGAUCGCAUCCGGUAAUGGAACUCAAGCCCCGCUCCGCCUCACCAACGACCGUGCCCAGUGGUGUGAUAGUGCAGAGUGCGCUAGCAGCCGGCUCGCUACCGGAGCAGAUCGGCACAGAGAGUGCGGCCAGCAGUAGUUUGCUAGCCGGCAGUAGUAGUUGUACCUCGCCCUUAGCUAGUACCGUAGGUCAGGUGGGACAUCUUUCAGACCGUGCGUCCGAACCGUUCGGAUCGGCCGGUGGUACGGCAACGACGACGUCCACUGGUUCGUCCACCGUUGCGCCUGCGAAGGUAGCCCCCUCGGCACUGUCCUCCUCGUGCUCGGCCCCGAUCGCCGUGCACGGUAAACGAUCGCCGUCCAUCGCGACGCCGGUGAAAAGCUCGAACGUAUCCGGCGGUAGCAGCUCCUGCAUACCGAGCCCCAUCCUAAGCCCGCCGGGAAAAAUCUUCGGACGCAACAACAACGGCAUCAUGGUUGUCACGUCGACCCCCUCGAACGAAGCCGAACUUCAGCUGUACCGGGUGCUGCAGAGAGCAAGCUUGCUCAACUACUAUGACACACUGCUCGAGAUGGGGGGUGAUGACGUCCAGCAGUUGUGUGAUGCGGGCGAGGAAGAGUUCCUGGAGAUCAUGGCACUGGUUGGGAUGGCCUCGAAACCGCUACACGUUCGUCGGCUCCAGAAGGCACUGCACGAGUGGAUGACCAAUCCCUCCGCCUUCCAGAGCCCGCUUACGAACGUGGACAUACCGUCGCGGAUCCCGUACAGUCCCGAGCCGGGUUCGAUAGCGCGCAGCGUUUCGACGGCCAGCACUGGACCGUACGGUGGUCCGUCGACCGUUGCCGGUAGCUUUUCGAACCUGACCGCCAAUGCUGUCGCCAGUACGAACCUUCCGCUCACACCGCCGACACCGAUCCCGUCCGCUCCUGCUUCGUCCUCCUCUUCCUCCUCCUCGGCAGUGGCCGCUGCCGCAGCGGCAGCCGCUUCAGCCGCAUCGUCCACCCUCGGUCAUCUCGGCACGGGUGUCGGUCCUUUGGGCCAUCAUCAUCUGCUGCACCAUCACCAUCAUCAUCAUCCGCUGAGCAGCAGCAAUCUAAGCAGCACGAUCAGCAACCAGAUCGGAUCCACGACCAGUGGUUCGGUGCAGCUUACACCGUCGCUGACGGAGGAUCAGGUGGCAAAGAUAGUACAGGCGGCCGAGCGGCUGUCACGCACCCUGCCCCGGCUCGAACCGCGCCAGCAAAGCAUCAAGAAGCGUUCGGCACGCGACCUGGAGGCGGUUAUCGCGAUGAGCGAAAGCGAUCCGCGGCGGAUGGAUGAGAUACGCAAGUACUCGGCCAUCUACGGCCGGUUUGAUUGCAAGCGCCGUCCGGAGAAGCCGCUCACACUGCACGAGGUGUGUGUGAAUGAGGCGGCCGCCCAGAUCUGCAAGUACAUCCCGGCGCUGCUGACAAGGCGCGACGAGCUGUUCCCACUCGCCCGGCAGGUGGUGCGUGACUGUGGGUUUGGUCAUUCGGCCAGCAUACGAUUGACGGGACUGAGCCAAACGCAACCAAAUCGUGGUGACGAACUGGACACGGUGCAGCAGCUGAAACGAGCCCGCCUCUCAAGCGACACCAGCUCGGACAUGGGCAAGCCAACUCCAACUACGCAAUACACAUGCUUAUGAGCUUACUCGCUGCUUGAUUGUAGUUGAACGGUCAAAGUCUAAAGCUCACGCUGAUCUGGCGGAGUCGCGGAUCAACUGUUCUGCAUCGGCCUGCUGCCUACCGGCUGGGCUGUUCGGCUGUGGGCACCGUGUACCUACCACACGUUUGGCCACGCUUCUGGGCUACGCUUUGCUUACCAAAUUGCUUUCCAAUGCUUCCACACUAUCGCUUAUCGCUUUAUCGUUCUUUUGUUGAGCAUUUAAGUAUCCUUUCAUAUUUACUUAUUUAUUAUUGGUUUAAGUUUAUGUUUUAAGGUUUAAUUUUGUUUUACUUUCGUUUCGUUGAUCUGUAAGUGCUUGAUUAUAAUAUAUUGAGAUGUCAAUGGAAAGUAGAAAACUUAUCUUUAGCAUGGAGUUAAACUCACUCGAAGAUACUUUUAGCCUUUCUAUUGGCACUGGUGCUCGCAUGAAUAAGGCUGAUAUUUUUGCUUCUCAUUUUCUACAUCAAAGAUGUUGAAGCAGAAUUUUCACCCUAAUUUCAUUGCACUUCCUAUUUUGAAACUAUUAAUAACAGCAGUUUAUCUAUGAAUCUAAGGAUUAGUAAUGAAAAUCCAGUGUGCCUUGUAGCUUUAGUUCUAGUCAGAUGCUUUGACCUUCGUUUAUUUUGCAACUUCCUUUGCCAUAGCGUUUUGUAUGUUUUUAAUAGUAGAGAUAAAAUACUCAUUUUAUUAACGUAGUAAUUAGUUAUAGCAUUUUAUAGUAGACAAAUGUAUCUGCUUCGCCACGCUACGCUUUAAAAAUUGUACGUGCAAAUGAUUGACAAAAAAAUUGGAUUGAAAUUUCCGUUGACGUUGUAGUUUAGUUUAAAUAAAUCCAAAAACUAAUAAUCAAUUCAAAACUCAAACAUUGCGACGAUAUUACAGUUUUCUUUUCAAUUAUAUUUAAUUAAUGUUCGCACAACUUGCUUCCAGUGGCGGAUUUAACGGUGCGCGGACUGAGCGGCCGCGGGGGGCCCCGUCUAUGUAGGGGCCCCGUGUAAGGAAGUCCAGCAUAUAGAACAAUGUGUACAGUAGUCUCAACAAGAGCUUCUGUGGUACUUAGGGGCCCCAUGGAUGAAGGGACUCUUAUACUAUAGGGGCCCAGUACAGGGAUUCUGAGCACCCCCCCAAAACCUAAUGCAACAAUAUGCACCCCCCCCCCCCCCCCCCCCCCCGCUCGACACCAACCGGGGGGCCUCCACUCCUUUUAACGCUUAGGGCCCCCAACACCCUAAAUCCGCCACUGCUUGCUUCAGUCUUUUAUUCUCACUUUCUGUAAUACAACAUGUUUAUUGAGCCUUUCUAAACGGUCUAAAAAGCAUUUUUUUUACUAUAUUUGCACGUAUAAUUCAUCUGCCCUCUGUGCUGAAAUGUACGAUCUUUGCUAACACCAGUGCAUUGCUAUCGGAUCCUGCAGAGGGCUAGAUUCGCUUCACUGCUUCUGCUUCCGCUUUCAUUUGAUUUCUAUAGUUUGUGUGUUGCUUCUAGUAUUCCUGUAGCUAUAUUUAUGUUCCAUGCUUUUAUUAUUAAAUAUGCUGCACUUAACUCAAACCUUCUUUAUUGUAAAUAUCUAUCGCUUGCUUGUAUUGCGCUUAUGCACAUCACACUCUAAUAUUGCGCCUGCACAACCUAAACCAAUAAAGGUACAGUAAAAUGGACGAUACUAAUUCUUAUUUCCCUUUUCCCAGGAAAACUCGGACGACAAUCGCGACAUUUCGAGCGGCUCCAUUUACCAGCAGAUCAGUGACAAACCCUUCGAUUUAACUGAUUCAAAUACACUAGAUCCGAAUUUGAUGACACAGAUUCUCGAUUUAGUUUUAGCAAUUCAAGUUCGUCAC